Long non-coding RNA from Papaver somniferum (opium poppy), 310 nucleotides. RefSeq lists it as uncharacterized. Lineage: Eukaryota; Viridiplantae; Streptophyta; Magnoliopsida; Ranunculales; Papaveraceae. The record is from RefSeq and is a predicted model, not a curated record. The transcript has 3 exons.
CUUGUCUGGGUACAUAAAUUUUUUGGGACCAACUCUGGGUGUGAUAAGCUAGCUGGCCUUAUUAAGGAGUGGCAUAUAUAUAGCAGCAAGAAGUGAAUUAAGGAAGCAGCCGAAAAGAAAUCAGCAGAAAUGCAGGGGAAUUCAUUAUUGGUCCCAACAAGGCAGCUAUCGUGGAGCCGGAGAUGGUAAUGCACCACUAAUGAUCCGUUUUCUCUCUCUCGCUCGCUCUCCUCUUCUCUGCUGCAGCCGCUUAUGAAGUUUAGACCUAGGGUUUGUGAAGAUGUUUCGUGGUUUUACAGGUAUGUUAUGU